RNAcentral lists this ribosomal RNA (434 nucleotides) under uncultured Coprococcus sp. RNAcentral describes it as "partial 16S ribosomal RNA". It matches the Rfam family "Bacterial small subunit ribosomal RNA", at positions 341 to 792 of the family's 1533-position model. Lineage: Bacteria; Bacillati; Bacillota; Clostridia; Lachnospirales; Lachnospiraceae. The record is from RNAcentral.
ACGGGAGGCAGCAGUGGGGAAUAUUGCACAAUGGGGGAAACCCUGAUGCAGCGACGCCGCGUGAGCGAAGAAGUAUUUCGGUAUGUAAAGCUCUAUCAGCAGGGAAGAAAAUGACGGUACCUGACUAAGAAGCACCGGCUAAAUACGUGCCAGCAGCCGCGGUAAUACGUAUGGUGCAAGCGUUAUUCGGAUUUACUGGGUGUAAAGGGAGCGUAGACGGCAUGGCAAGUCUGAAGUGAAAUGCGGGGGCUCAACCCCUGAACUGCUUUGGAAACUGUCAAGCUAGAGUGUCGGAGAGGUAAGUGGAAUUCCUAGUGUAGCGGUGAAAUGCGUAGAUAUUAGGAGGAACACCAGUGGCGAAGGCGGCUUACUGGACGAUAACUGACGUUGAGGCUCGAAAGCGUGGGGAGCAAACAGGAUUAGAUACCCUGGUA